This 483-nucleotide ribosomal RNA is filed under the name uncultured bacterium. RNAcentral describes it as "partial 16S ribosomal RNA". It matches the Rfam family "Bacterial small subunit ribosomal RNA", at positions 28 to 507 of the family's 1533-position model. The record is from RNAcentral.
GACGAACGCUGGCGGCGUGCUUAACACAUGCAAGUCGAACGCUGAAGCUCAGCUUUUGUUGGGUGGAUGAGUGGCGAACGGGUGAGUAACACGUGAGUAACCUGCCUCCUUCUUUGGGAUAACGCCCGGAAACGGGUGCUAAUACUGGAUAUUCACUGGUCUUCGCAUGGGGGUUGGUGGAAAGGGUUUUUCUGGUGGGGGAUGGGCUCGCGGCCUAUCAGCUUGUUGGUGGGGUGAUGGCCUACCAAGGCUUUGACGGGUAGCCGGCCUGAGAGGGUGACCGGUCACAUUGGGACUGUGAAACGGCCCAGACUCCUACGGGAGGCAGCAGUGGGGAAUAUUGCACAAUGGGCGCAAGCCUGAUGCAGCGACGCCGCGUGAGGGAUGGAGGCCUUCGGGUUGUGAACCUCUUUCGCUCAUGGUCAAGCCGCAACAAUGGUUGUGGUGAGGGUAGUGGGUAAAGAAGCGCCGGCUAACUACGUG